AGUCCCGCAACGAGCGCAACCCUUAUCCUUGUUUGCCAGCGAGUAAUGUCGGGAACUCCAGGGAGACUGCCGGUGAUAAACCGGAGGAAGGUGGGGACGACGUCAAGUCAUCAUGGCCCUUACGAGUAGGGCUACACACGUGCUACAAUGGCGCAUACAGAGGGCGGCCAACUUGCGAGAGUGAGCGAAUCCCAAAAAGUGCGUCGUAGUCCGGAUUGGAGUCUGCAACUCGACUCCAUGAAGUCGGAAUCGCUAGUAAUCGUGGAUCAGAAUGCCACGGUGAAUACGUUCCCGGGCCUUGUACACACCGCCCGU
RNAcentral lists this ribosomal RNA (315 nucleotides) under uncultured bacterium. RNAcentral describes it as "bacterial SSU rRNA". It matches the Rfam family "Bacterial small subunit ribosomal RNA", at positions 1083 to 1397 of the family's 1533-position model. The record is from RNAcentral.